This is a long non-coding RNA of Capsicum annuum, 1043 nucleotides long. RefSeq lists it as uncharacterized. The transcript is spliced from 3 exons. The record is from RefSeq and is a predicted model, not a curated record. Lineage: Eukaryota; Viridiplantae; Streptophyta; Magnoliopsida; Solanales; Solanaceae.
UAGACCAUCAGUUUUGUGCGUUAAGUUGUCUCUUUAUUUUCCUCAAUUACUUGUAUUAAACCCCCGCUUUAUCCACCAGUUUGACAACAUAAUAUCAUCGCACAACAAUCCUAAUUGCCUCUCUCAAACUCAACUUCUAAGAAGCUCCAUAGAAUUGGCUGAAGGGAUCAAGCUUAGUUCCUCCUUGCUAUCUAAAGUCCUUUAAACGUUUUGAGGUUCUAGUGCACAAGUCCGCGGUCAGGCGUCUCAUUAGGAUCUCUAUCUUCUGCUAUUGGAUCUGAGAACUGGGAAGAUAAUUGGUCGAGGCCAUAGACAAGGGGAACUCUUCAUCUUAUAUUUGGGAUCAUCCUCCAACUCUCAUAAGUGUUUUGUUGCUCCAUCUUCUCAGGAGGUCAACUCCGCCAAUGCUCUUUGGAAACUGUGGCAUAGGCGUUUGGCAAAUCCUCAUACUAAGCGUCUCAAGUUCUUGUUUUCUUCUGGGGAUUUAGUGUCUAAGAUAGAUUUCAAUAAUAAUGUCAUUAUUGAUUGUGAAUCUUGUGCUCUUGCAAAAUCACAGUUGUUGCCAUUUAAUAAAAGUAUUCAAUAUACUACUUCUCCCUUUGAACUUGUUCACUCUGAGGUUUGGGGUCCUGCAAGCUCCAAGUCGCUCUCUAGCAAUUUUUAUUAUGUUAUAUUUUUAGAUGAUGUAACCCGAUUUACAUGGAUUUACUUUCUUAAACACAAAUCGGAGGUAUUCAAGGUCUUUAAGUAUUUUUAUGCCAUGUUCUUACUCAGUUUGAGAAAAAUAUAAAUAUCCUUCGCACGUACUCGGGCGGUGAAUACAUCUAUAAAGAUUUUGAGCAUUUCUUCGCUACUGGAGGUGUCAUUCAUCAGAAAACUUAUUCUCAGCAGUCUCAGCAGAAUGGUGUUGCUGAGCGGAAGCAUCACCAUAUUAUUGAAAUAGCCUAUGCUCUUCGACUUCAUGCCAAUUUGCCACAAUUAUUUUGGGUUGACUGUGUCCACAUAGCUCUGUAUCUCAUUAAUCGGAUGCCCACUAAGGUUCU